Molecule: ribosomal RNA, 370 nt
Filed under: uncultured bacterium
Lineage: Bacteria
Description: bacterial SSU rRNA
Rfam family: Bacterial small subunit ribosomal RNA
Source: RNAcentral
GACGAACGCUGGCGGCGUGCUUAACACAUGCAAGUCGAGCGGUAAGGCCCUUCGGGUACACGAGCGGCGAACGGGUGAGUAACACGUGGGUGACCUGCCUCUAGCUCUGGGAUAAGCCUGGGAAACUGGGUCUAAUACCGGAUAUGACUCCACGGCGCAUGUUGUGGGGUGGAAAGCCUUGUGUGGCUAGAGAUGGGCCCGNGGCCUAUCAGCUUGUUGGUGGGGGAUGGCCUACCAAGGCGACGACGGGUAGCCGGCCUGAGAGGGCGACCGGCCACACUGGGACUGAGACACGGCCCAGACUCCUACGGGAGGCAGCGAGUGGGGAAUCUUGCGCAAUGGGCGAAAGCCUGACGCAGCGACGCCGCGU